GACGAACGCUGGCGGCGUGCUUAACACAUGCAAGUCGAACGGAAAGGCCCUGCUUGCAGGGUACUCGAGUGGCGAACGGGUGAGUAACACGUGGGUGAUCUGCCCUGCACUUCGGGAUAAGCCUGGGAAACUGGGUCUAAUACCGGAUAGGAGCCAUUUUUAGUGUGAUGGUUGGAAAGUUUUUUCGGUGUAGGAUGAGCUCGCGGCCUAUCAGCUUGUUGGUGGGGUAAUGGCCUACCAAGGCGGCGACGGGUAGCCGGCCUGAGAGGGUGGACGGCCACAUUGGGACUGAGAUACGGCCCAGACUCCUACGGGAGGUAGCAGUGGGGAAUAUUGCACAAUGGGCGCAAGCCUGAUGCAGCGACGCCGCGUGGGGGAUGACGGCCUUCGGGUUGUAAACUCCUUUCGCUAGGGACGAAGCUUUUGUGACGGUACCUAGAUAAGAAGCACCGGCUAACUACGUG
RNAcentral lists this ribosomal RNA (464 nucleotides) under uncultured bacterium. Its description in RNAcentral is "partial 16S ribosomal RNA". It matches the Rfam family "Bacterial small subunit ribosomal RNA", at positions 28 to 507 of the family's 1533-position model. The record is from RNAcentral.